RNAcentral lists this long non-coding RNA (265 nucleotides) under Capsicum annuum. Its description in RNAcentral is "long non-coding RNA (CANN_LNC012095)". The record is from RNAcentral. Lineage: Eukaryota; Viridiplantae; Streptophyta; Magnoliopsida; Solanales; Solanaceae.
GUGGACUCCAUUUUUAUGUAAUAAAGGUGUCAUGUCAGCACAAAGAGGUAACAAAAUACGUUAAAAUUAAGUUAGGGUAAUAAAACUCAUGUAAAGUUGAAGUAUACCUUAGGAACUUUGGUCAUAGUUCGAAGGGCUAGUGAAUACAACAACAACAACAAACUCAGUGUAUUCCCACAGCGUGGAGUCUGGGGAGGGUAAGAUAUACACAGUUCAUACCGCUACCUCCGAAGAAGUAGAGAGGUUGUUUCCGAUAGACCCCCGG